This 1407-nucleotide ribosomal RNA is filed under the name uncultured bacterium. Its description in RNAcentral is "bacterial SSU rRNA". It matches the Rfam family "Bacterial small subunit ribosomal RNA". The record is from RNAcentral.
AGAGUUUGAUCCUGGCUCAGGAUGAACGCUGGCGGCGUGCUUAACACAUGCAAGUCGAACGGGAAACCUUUUAUUGAAGCUUCGGCAGAUUUAGCUGGUUUCUAGUGGCGGACGGGUGAGUAACGCGUGGGUAACCUGCCUUAUACAGGGGGAUAACAACCAGAAAUGGUUGCUAAUACCGCAUAAGCGCACAGGACCGCAUGGUCCGGUGUGAAAAACUCCGGUGGUAUAAGAUGGACCCGCGUUGGAUUAGCUAGUUGGCAGGGUAACGGCCUACCAAGGCGACGAUCCAUAGCCGGCCUGAGAGGGUGAACGGCCACACUGGGACUGAGACACGGCCCAGACUCCUACGGGAGACAGCAGUUAGGAAUAUUCGUCAAUGGGGGAAACCCUGAACGAGCAAUGCCGCGUGAGUGAUGAAGGUCUUUGGAUUGUAAAACUCUGUUGUAUGGGAAGAAUGUUGGUAUUAGGAAAUGAAUGCCAAGUGACGGUACCAUGCGAGAAAGCCCCGGCUAACUACGUGCCAGCAGCCGCGGUAAUACGUAGGGGGCGAGCGUUAUCCGGAUUUAUUGGGCGUAAAGCGUGCGUAGGCGGUUUAUUAAGUUUAAGAUAAAAGCCCGGGGCUUAACUCCGGUUCGUCUUAAAAACUGGUAAACUUGAGUAUGGUAGAGGCAAACGGAAUUUCUAGUGUAGCGGUGAAAUGCGUAGAUAUUAGAAGGAACACCAGUGGCGAAGGCGGUUUGCUGGGCCAAAACUGACGCUGAGGCACGAAAGCGUGGGUAGCAAAUAGGAUUAGAUACCCUGGUAGUCCCAGCCGUAAACGAUGAGCACUAAGUGUGGGGAGAAUUCUCUUUCCGUGCCAACGCUAACGCAUUAAGUGCUCCGCCUGGGGAGUACGGUCGCAAGACUAAAACUCAAAGGAAUUGACGGGGGCCCGCACAAGCAGCGGAGCAUGUGGCUUAAUUCGAAGCAACGCGAAGAACCUUACCAGGGCUUGACAUAUAGGUGAAGCUGUGGAAACACAGUGGCCGAAAGGAGCCUAUACAGGUGGUGCAUGGCUGUCGUCAGCUCGUGUCGUGAGAUGUUGGGUUAAGUCCCGCAACGAGCGCAACCCCCGUCGCAUGUUACCAGCAUUUAGUUGGGGACUCAUGCGAGACUGCCGGCGUUAAGCCGGAGGAAGGUGGGGACGACGUCAAGUCAUCAUGCCCCUUACGUCCUGGGCUGCACACGUGCUACAAUGGUCGGUACAAUGAGCUGCCACCUCGCGAGAGGGAGCGAAUCUCUUAAAGCCGGCCCCAGUUCGGACUGCAGGCUGCAACUCGCCUGCACGAAGUCGGAGUUGCUAGUAAUCGCGGAUCAGCACGCCGCGGUGAAUGCGUUCCCGGGCCUUGCACUCACCGCCCGUCA